Long non-coding RNA from Cygnus olor (mute swan), 214 nucleotides. RefSeq lists it as uncharacterized. The transcript is spliced from 3 exons. The record is from RefSeq and is a predicted model, not a curated record. Lineage: Eukaryota; Metazoa; Chordata; Aves; Anseriformes; Anatidae.
GGGCUUUGUGCCCUAACCAUAACAUCAUCAGGUACUUUGCAGGACUGUUUGUGGCCCAGAGUCUGCUGCUGCCAAGGCAAGAAGAUAUUUUCAUUUUAAGGGAAUUCCAGUUUUCUAGAAGAAAUUACAUAUACUUGGAAAGAGACACUACGAGAUGAUUGCAUGCAGUCUAGAUUCUGCUCCUUUCUUCUGUCAUCAUCCAAUGUUGGAGGUA